Molecule: ribosomal RNA, 495 nt
Filed under: uncultured bacterium
Lineage: Bacteria
Description: partial 16S ribosomal RNA
Rfam family: Bacterial small subunit ribosomal RNA
Source: RNAcentral
GACGAACGCUGGCGGCGUGCCUAAUACAUGCAAGUAGAACGCUGAAGGAGGAGCUUGCUUCUCUGGAUGAGUUGCGAACGGGUGAGUAACGCGUAGGUAACCUGCCUGGUAGCGGGGGAUAACUAUUGGAAACGAUAGCUAAUACCGCAUAAGAGUAGAUGUUGCAUGACAUUUGCUUAAAAGGUGCAAUUGCAUCACUACCAGAUGGACCUGCGUUGUAUUAGCUAGUUGGUGAGGUAACGGCUCACCAAGGCGACGAUACAUAGCCGACCUGAGAGGGUGAUCGGCCACACUGGGACUGAGACACCGCCCAGACUCCUACGGGAGGCAGCAGUAGGGAAUCUUCGGCAAUGGACGGAAGUCUGACCGAGCAACGCCGCGUGAGUGAAGAAGGUUUUCGGAUCGUAAAGAUCGGUUGUAAGAGAAGAACGAGUGUGAGAGUGGAAAGUUCACACUGUGACGGUAUCUUACCAGAAAGGGACGGCUAACUACGUG